CCGAGCGUGUGUGUCAGAGCCGCCUUACCAUGCCUCCUCUCUCCUCCCCCCUCAUUGAUUCCUCUUUCCGAUCCCUCCUUCACUUUCUGCCUCGCUUUACACGCUUCCCAUCAUUUUCUCCGCCGGUCGGGAUAAGAGACAUGGUGCAUGGUGGGCAAAUGCAAGCGCCGGCGCUCUCUUUCACAGUGUAGGAGGCACCGGGAUCAAACCUGCAGAGGAAAGCCUUGGACUUCGGACCUUAAAGCAGACCACAUGCUAGCUGGGAGCCCAGAAACAGAGUCCUCUCCAAGCCAAACAAACCAAUUGUCAGAUAAUUCUCACCAGGGUGCAGUACCUGGGAGUGAGUCACGCACUGUACAUACUGACAUGCACAGAGGUUCAAAAAAUGAAGGCCAAACACAGAUUUUGAAUAAAGUUUUCUAAUAGUUUCUGUAUAAAAAAACAAGAAACCAUCUGAAUGAAUAAGACGUGCUCUUCUAGAAAUUAUGCUUAAAACAUGCAGAAAAAGAGAAGUGCAAGAGCCAACAAAAUUAAAAGACUUGAUCAAAUUUCAUGAGGCUCCGGCAGUGAGACAGUUAAUAUGCAAACAAGUCUGGCGGCUCUGUACGAAGAGGAGUGGCUUCUUUUUAGGACAGAUGAGGGAGGAGAGAGGAAGAGCAGAGGAAGGGGAGGGGAGUGGCCACGCUGCUGAAAAAGAAGCGGGUUGAAACAUGCGUGUGCGCGCGAGCACGCAGGAAGUGCGGGCGGCUGCAGAGGCACAGGUGUCGGUCUCUGAACACUCCAUUACUUCCUCAUCAAAGAGUCUGUAUUAGCGAGGCACUGCUCUCAUUUUUGCCUGUACCACAGCGAGAGCCUCCACUAACUCACCAUUAGGGAAAUGAGAGAUGAGAGCGAGCAGUGCACUGACUGAAACUGACAAGAUGGCAAGCUCCCACCAGUGCUCCUGAGCCUACAGCUAUGCAGAAAUAAAAUCCUUAUCCGACUCAGCCGUUAUGCUACCCAGUGUUAUUAACAACAUUAAUGAAUGCCUUUUUUUUGACAGAAUUCAAAACAGGAAAAAAAUUGAUCAUGGCUGAUUGAAAUUACAAUUAUGAAUUCUAGAGAAAAAAAAAAA
Long non-coding RNA from Oryzias melastigma (Indian medaka), 1114 nucleotides. RefSeq lists it as uncharacterized. The transcript is spliced from 2 exons. Lineage: Eukaryota; Metazoa; Chordata; Actinopteri; Beloniformes; Adrianichthyidae. The record is from RefSeq and is a predicted model, not a curated record.